Molecule: ribosomal RNA, 253 nt
Filed under: uncultured bacterium
Lineage: Bacteria
Description: partial 16S ribosomal RNA
Rfam family: Bacterial small subunit ribosomal RNA
Source: RNAcentral
GACGGAGGGUGCAAGCGUUGUUCGGAAUCACUGGGCGUAAAGCGCGUGUAGGAGGGUUGAUAAGUCGAAUGUGAAAGCCCGAGGCUCAACCUCGGAAGUGCAUUCGAAACUGUCAGGCUUGAGCACGGGAGUGGGAAGUGGAAUUCCUGGUGUAGAGGUGAAAUUCGUAGAUAUCAGGAGGAACACCGGUGGCGAAGGCGGCUUCCUGGACCGAUACUGACGCUGAGACGCGAAAGCGUAGGGAGCGAACAGG